RNAcentral lists this ribosomal RNA (468 nucleotides) under uncultured bacterium. RNAcentral describes it as "partial 16S ribosomal RNA". It matches the Rfam family "Bacterial small subunit ribosomal RNA", at positions 28 to 507 of the family's 1533-position model. The record is from RNAcentral.
GACGAACGCUGGCGGCGUGCCUAACACAUGCAAGUCGAACGGAAAGGCCCUGCUUUUGUGGGGUGCUCGAGUGGCGAACGGGUGAGUAACACGUGAGUAACCUGCCCCUGACUUUGGGAUAACUUCAGGAAACUGGGGCUAAUACCGGAUAGGAGCUCCUGCUGCAUGGUGGGGGUUGGAAAGUUUCGGCGGUUGGGGAUGGACUCGCGGCUUAUCAGCUUGUUGGUGGGGUAGUGGCUUACCAAGGCUUUGACGGGUAGCCGGCCUGAGAGGGUGACCGGCCACAUUGGGACUGAGAUACGGCCCAGACUCCUACGGGAGGCAGCAGUGGGGAAUAUUGCACAAUGGGCGGAAGCCUGAUGCAGCAACGCCGCGUGCGGGAUGACGGCCUUCGGGUUGUAAACCGCUUUCGCCUGUGACGAAGCGUGAGUGACGGUAAUGGGUAAAGAAGCACCGGCUAACUACGUG